UAACGCUGGCGGCGUGCCUAAUACAUGCAAGUCGAGCGAGCUUGCCUAGAUGAAUUUGGUGCUUGCACCAAAUGAAACUAGAUACAAGCGAGCGGCGGACGGGUGAGUAACACGUGGGUAACCUGCCCAAGAGACUGGGAUAACACCUGGAAACAGAUGCUAAUACCGGAUAACAACACUAGACGCAUGUCUAGAGUUUAAAAGAUGGUUCUGCUAUCACUCUUGGAUGGACCUGCGGUGCAUUAGCUAGUUGGUAAGGUAACGGCUUACCAAGGCAAUGAUGCAUAGCCGAGUUGAGAGACUGAUCGGCCACAUUGGGACUGAGACACGGCCCAAACUCCUACGGGAGGCAGCAGUAGGGAAUCUUCCACAAUGGACGCAAGUCUGAUGGAGCAACGCCGCGUGAGUGAAGAAGGGUUUCGGCUCGUAAAGCUCUGUUGGUAGUGAAGAAAGAUAGAGGUAGUAACUGGCCUUUAUUUGACGGUAAUUACUUAGAAAGUCACGGCUAACUACGUGCCAGCAGCCSGGGGUUAAUAA
RNAcentral lists this ribosomal RNA (537 nucleotides) under Lactobacillus gasseri. RNAcentral's name for it is "bacterial SSU rRNA". It matches the Rfam family "Bacterial small subunit ribosomal RNA", at positions 32 to 526 of the family's 1533-position model. The record is from RNAcentral. Lineage: Bacteria; Bacillati; Bacillota; Bacilli; Lactobacillales; Lactobacillaceae.